This 225-nucleotide ribosomal RNA is filed under the name Scyris indica (Indian threadfish). Its description in RNAcentral is "partial 16S ribosomal RNA". The record is from RNAcentral. Lineage: Eukaryota; Metazoa; Chordata; Actinopteri; Carangiformes; Carangidae.
GCCCAUUAGCUAGCCCCACCACCUAAACUCAACAAACAAACAUAAAUAAACCCAAAAACACUAAACUUAUCUAAACAAAACAUUUUUCCUCCUUAGUACGGGCGACAGAAAAGGACCCCAGGGCGCAAUAGAAUAAGUACCGCAAGGGAAAGCUGAAAGAGAAGUGAAAUAAACCAGUAAAGCCAAAAAAAGCAGAGAUUUUUCCUCGUACCUUUUGCAUCAUGA